GCUCCCGCCGCUGCUCCAGCGACGCGCAGCCACCGCCGCCGCCGCCAGUCCUUAGCCUCCGCCAUGACGACCGUGUCCACCUCGCAGGUGCGCCAGAACUACCACCAGGACUCAGAGGCCGCCAUCAACCGCCAGAUCAACCUGGAGCUCUACGCUUCCUACGUUUACCUGUCCAUGUCUUACUACUUUGACCGCGAUGAUGUGGCUUUGAAGAACUUUGCCAAAUACUUUCUUCACCAAUCUCAUGAGGAAAGGGAACAUGCCGAGAAACUGAUGAAGCUGCAGAACCAACUAGGUGGCCCAAUCUUCCUUCAGGAUAUCAAGAAACCAGACUAUGACGACUGGGAGAGCAGGCUGAAUGCGAUGGAGUGUGCUUUACAUUUGGAAAAAAAUGUGAAUCAGUCACUACUGGAACUGCACAAACAGGCCACUGACAAAAAUGACCCCCAUUUGUGUGACUUCAUUGAGACACAUUACCUGAAUGAGCAGGUGAAAGCCAUCAAGAAUUGGGUGACCACGUGACCAACUUGCGCCAGAUGGGAGCACCCGAAUCUGGCUUGGCAGAGUAUCUCUUUGACAAGCACACCCUGGGAGACAGUGAUAAUGAAAGCUAAGCCUCUGGCUAAUUUCCCCAGAGCCAUGGGGUGACUUCCCUGUUCACCAAGGCAGUGCAUGCAUGUUGGGGUUUCCUUUACCUUUUCUA
This is an RNA transcript of Piliocolobus tephrosceles (Ugandan red Colobus), 703 nucleotides long. It is a transcript of the gene named ferritin heavy chain pseudogene, with no coding region annotated. The transcript has a single exon. The record is from RefSeq and is a predicted model, not a curated record. NCBI's taxonomy places the organism in Eukaryota, Metazoa, Chordata, Mammalia, Primates, Cercopithecidae.